GGUUCCGUAACCGAGUGGUUAGGUAGCGGUCUGCAAAACCGUUUACAGCGGUUCGAAUCCGCUCGGAACCU
RNAcentral lists this transfer RNA (71 nucleotides) under Bacteroidales bacterium. RNAcentral describes it as "tRNA-Cys". It matches the Rfam family "tRNA". Rfam says of the family: Transfer RNA (tRNA) molecules are approximately 80 nucleotides in length. Their secondary structure includes four short double-helical elements and three loops (D, anti-codon, and T loops). Further hydrogen bonds mediate the characteristic L-shaped molecular structure. tRNAs have two regions of fundamental functional importance: the anti-codon, which is responsible for specific mRNA codon recognition, and the 3' end, to which the tRNAs corresponding amino acid is attached (by aminoacyl-tRNA synthetases). tRNAs cope with the degeneracy of the genetic code in two manners: having more than one tRNA (with a specific anti-codon) for a particular amino acid; and 'wobble' base-pairing, i.e. permitting non-standard base-pairing at the 3rd anti-codon position. The record is from RNAcentral. Lineage: Bacteria; Pseudomonadati; Bacteroidota; Bacteroidia; Bacteroidales.